Long non-coding RNA from Branchiostoma belcheri (Belcher's lancelet), 946 nucleotides. RefSeq lists it as uncharacterized. Lineage: Eukaryota; Metazoa; Chordata; Leptocardii; Amphioxiformes; Branchiostomatidae. The transcript has 4 exons. The record is from RefSeq and is a predicted model, not a curated record.
CGAGACUAGGACGAGACUUGCGUGGAUCUUCUGCCCCCUCUGCCUCCUUGCGGUGUAGAGGUAUGUAGGGCUUAGGCAGCUCCCAGCCAAAAUUCGGAGGAACACACUAUCACCGAGGAUAAAGAUUCCGCUGAAGAAUCCUCGGAGGGUGAAUCAAAUGGCUGAUUUUGUCACUGAACCGCUGUUUGGAAGGACGUCUUGGGCAAGUCGUCUUUGCGUACUCUCUUCAAUUGGUGACUACUAUCACAUCUCCAAUGGGUGACCACUAUCACAUCUAUCGAGGUGUUGUUUGUUUGUACAUGACAACUUUGGAAAAUGCCGAUUAUUGUAUACUACAUGAAGACAGAGUAGUAUUUGGUAGAACGAUGACAGUCAUCUGUUUUUACAACGAGCACACGUACAGACAUGCUGUGUGUUUCCUAUUCAGUUUGCCGUGUGAAUUUCUGUCAUUUUGUGCACAAGGGAUAUCGACGUUUACAGUAUGAAGAAGUCCCCAUUAGUCAUAUCAUGAUAAGAAAGUGCUAUGCUGUGCAUCUGCAGCGUAUGCCUUCUAGAGGAGGGGUUAAAGUUAACGUUAUAACAUCUCCCAUCUCCAGACCCUUCAUAUUGUCUUAUUACCAUUUCUACAUUGAUAUUACUAUAUCAUUUAUAGUAUGUACCUUCUUUUCCGUUAGCAUUUCCUUAUUUUUGUUGUUAUUGCAUCAAUUUAUAGUCUGUGCAGUUAAUUUUUGUUAGACAUGUCUUUUAAAAUCCACUUGUAAUAGACCCAUUCGACUUUCACGAACCGCAUAAACUCCUUACGUCACAGGGGGGACAUUUCGAUAGAACAUCGUUCUAGAACGCCUAAGUUGAACGCGGUUUGCGCUCGCUGUGUCCCCCCUGGCAGAUCAUUUUUUUUACUAAAAUGUAGGUAAGUGUCUUUUUUUCUCGGUCAUAUAUGCGGAAA